Molecule: long non-coding RNA, 1304 nt
Organism: Daphnia pulicaria
Lineage: Eukaryota; Metazoa; Arthropoda; Branchiopoda; Diplostraca; Daphniidae
Exons: 5
Source: RefSeq, a predicted model, not a curated record
AACAGCACCCAGUUUUAUUGGCAAAACUCUGUCUUCGUGUACACCCAUGUGAAGGUGGGUGUAUUCACGAGGGCCGGCUUUUCCCUGUCCUGCCUGGCGUCAACCUGCGGAUGGAACACUUAUAAGUGGAUGCCCAGCUGUGGAUUUCCCGGGCUGAAAGCUUCGUGUCGGGGGUGGCGGCCUGGAGACGCGGGAAAAAUGUGAUGAGGAGCGACGUGAACGGAAAAAGAAGAAGAAGAAGAACAAACGAACCAAAAGUCAAUGCACGGAUGGAUGGAUGUAGGGGGGAGAAAAAGGAAAAGUGCACUCUCUAUCGUCUAUCUAAAAGAGGAGAGAAACUCACAGGGGAGGAUAUGGCAGCAGCAGACCCUGAUGAAUUCACGAUCGCUAAUUAAAACUAACAAGCACACACACACACAUGCGUGUGUGUGUACUCGCCUUCGGGCUGCCAAUUAGCAAAAGCACCGUCGUAUUAGGUUUCACUGUAAAAAUAACAUUCGCCAACUAAUGACGGCAGAAGAAAGAAGAAGAAGAAGAAAGAAGAAGCAGCCGUCCCAAAUGGUUGUGAGAUCAUCAUCACAAACCUUUUUUCCUUUCCAUUUGUCAUUGAGGAGAAGUAAAAGAAGCUGUAACUACCUGGAAGAACAAAAACAAGAAGAAGAUUUCCCACACGGUCCGGUAGAGUCCGGAACGAUCCUGUGAGCUGAUUGUUUUGUCAAGAGUCACUGAACUGUUUUUCACCAGAAGCGGGCACACACACACGAAGAGCGUCGGACACACAAAAGUCGAGAGAAACGUCAACAUUUUCCAUUUCUUCUUCUUCUUCUCUUCUGCCGGCAGAACAACAACAAGAAAGAGAAGAGAAAAAGUGGUUUGACACGAUUAGACGCAGUCGCAGCUGUGUGGAAUCUAACGACGCGCGGCCUUUGACGUUCGUGAGAAGACGACCCGCUUCUUCUUCCAUCCAUCCGCUCUGCUUCUUCUUCUUUCUUUGCAAUGUACAUAUAAAAAAAAAGAGAAUAAGAGAAACGGGUUGGAUGUAUAAUCUAGCAACCAGGAGGGGGAAGACGGGAAAAAUGACUGAAUUUAUCCGUUUUUCUUUGAUGUGUAUAAUCACGUAGUUACACGGUAUAUACAGUCACUCGGCCCGCCCGUCUCUCUUGCCUCUGUGUGUGUUCUUUCUCUCCUUUUUCUUCUGUCUGACUUGUCGUUGAUUACAUUAGAGAGAUAUAUCAUUGCGAGCGCGUAGACAAAUGCACACAGCUCUUAUUAUUAUCAAAAGUCCCUCUCCUUUUAUUUUUCUA